Molecule: ribosomal RNA, 488 nt
Filed under: uncultured bacterium
Lineage: Bacteria
Description: partial 16S ribosomal RNA
Rfam family: Bacterial small subunit ribosomal RNA
Source: RNAcentral
GACGAACGCUGGCGGCGUGCUUAACACAUGCAAGUCGAACGGAAAGGCCCUGCUUUUGUUGGGUUCUCGAGUGGCGAACGGGUGAGUAACACGUGAGUAACCUGCCCUUGUCUUUCGGAUAACUUCAGGAAACUGGGGCUAAUACCGGAUAUGAUCUCCUGCUGCAUGUUGUGGGUUGGAAAGUUUCGGCGGUUGUGUAUGGACUCGCGGCGUAUUAGCUUGUUGGUGAGGUAGCGGCUUACCAAGGCUAUGAUGGGUAGCCGGCCUGAGAGGGUGAUCGGCCACACGGGAACUGAGACACGGUCCAGACUCCUACGGGAGGCAGCAGUAGGGAAGCUGCCGCAAUGGGCGAAAGCCUGACGGAGCAACGCCGCGUGAGUGAUGAAGGUCUGCGGAGCGUAAAACUCUGUUAUUAGGGAAGAACAAAUGUGUAAGUAACUAUGCACGUCUGGACGGUACCUAAUCAGAAAGCCACGGCUAACUACGUG